RNAcentral lists this transfer RNA (75 nucleotides) under Bacillota bacterium. RNAcentral describes it as "tRNA-Gly". It matches the Rfam family "tRNA". Rfam says of the family: Transfer RNA (tRNA) molecules are approximately 80 nucleotides in length. Their secondary structure includes four short double-helical elements and three loops (D, anti-codon, and T loops). RNAcentral also lists the same sequence under 2 other names. Lineage: Bacteria; Bacillati; Bacillota. The record is from RNAcentral.
GCGGAAAUGGCUCAACGGUAGAGCAUCGCCUUCCCAAGGCGAGGGUUGCGAGUUCGAAUCUCGUUUUCCGCUCCA